UGAAGGGUUUGAUCCUGGCUCAGAAUGAACGUUGGCGGCGUGGAUUAGGCAUGCAAGUCGCGCGACAAGGUUUCUUUAGCUUGCUAUUGAAACCGGAGGAGCGGCGAAAGGGAGAGUAACGCGUGGAUACCUGCCCUUGGCUCCGGGAUAGCGUCGGGAAACUGGCGGUAAUACCGGAUAAUAUCCCCGGAUCAAAGGUGUGAUUCCGGCCGAGGAUGGGUCCGCGUCCUAUUAGGUUGUUGGUGAGGUAAUGGCUCACCAAGCCAAAGAUGGGUACCGGGUGUGAGAGCAUGGCCCGGCUCACUGGGACUGAGACACUGCCCAGACACCUACGGGUGGCUGCAGUCGAGAAUCUUCCGCAAUGGGCGCAAGCCUGACGGAGCGACGCCGCGUGCGGGAUGAAGGCCUUCGGGUUGUAAACCGCUGUCAGUAGGGAGCAAAUGCAUCAGGGCAAUCUCUGGUGUUUGAGCAAUCUGCAGAGGAAGUCCGGGCUAAGUACGUGCCAGCAGCCGCGGUAACACGUACCGGACGAACGUUAUUCGGAAUCACUGGGCUUAAAGAGUCCGUAGGCGGCUCGGUAGGUGAGGUGUGAAAUCCCACGGCUCAACCGUGGAACUGCGCUUCAAACCACCGGGCUUGAGGGAGAUAGAGGUGAGCGGAACUGAUGGUGGAGCGGUGAAAUGCGUUGAUAUCAUCAGGAACACCGGUGGCGAAAGCGGCUCACUGGGUCUCUUCUGACGCUGAGGGACGAAAGCUAGGGGAGC
Molecule: ribosomal RNA, 764 nt
Filed under: Planctomycetaceae bacterium
Lineage: Bacteria; Pseudomonadati; Planctomycetota; Planctomycetia; Planctomycetales; Planctomycetaceae
Description: bacterial SSU rRNA
Rfam family: Bacterial small subunit ribosomal RNA
Source: RNAcentral